RNAcentral lists this long non-coding RNA (685 nucleotides) under Rosa chinensis. RNAcentral describes it as "sRNA RchiOBHm_Chr7g0227921". The record is from RNAcentral. Lineage: Eukaryota; Viridiplantae; Streptophyta; Magnoliopsida; Rosales; Rosaceae.
CUCUCUCUCUCUCUCCCUCUCUCUCUCUGGACUCCAUACUCUUUCGCUCAGAACCCAGCCCCAAUUUUUUGAUUCUAGCCCCAAUUAUACAAAGAUCUUUGCAAAUCCAGUCCCAAAAACACAAUCUAAGCAAGAUGCGAAGCUCAACAACAUAGAUUUCAGCCUAGAUAUCCUUUGAUUUUCGAAAUCCCCAAAUCUUUCGAAAACCUAGGUUAGUUGCUUGGUUGAAGCGGUUGUUCAGAGGCUUAUAUGGUGUUCAGCUGGUGGUUCAGAGCACAACGAAUUAGGCCAAGAUGGUGGGAAACAAAUGGGUCUGAACUUUGAUAGAGUGAAUUUGUGUACAAGCAUAGAGAAGAUCGAGAUCUUUGAUUAGGAACUGCUGCACUGAGUUUGGGAGGUGCAAACUCUUCUACAACAACCGCUACUUGAAGAUUUGGAUGCUGCAGACCUCCAAUUCAAAGAUAUAGCUGCUGUGUUUUUUUUGUUAAGUGAUAAGAAUCAUCAAAUCACUAGCAGAUUUUUGUUCCUUUGAAUAUUUAUAGUUCCUAACUUCAAAUAGGUAAAUAUUUAAAUAGUUUAGACUUAGAAAUCAGUGACAUAUGAUUUGUGAACUUGUAAAUUGUAAUGUAGAACUGGAACAUUAUUAACUAUAGGAGAAAAGCUAAGAGAAAAACAUCAAGUCUAG